UUUAUUUCAAAUGUUUAUACUUCAAAGUAAAAUUAACUCCAACUUCAAGCUAAAACAGUUCCUUCCAUCACCAUAACAGCUUUUCCUCGCAGCAGUACCCUUUGAUUUUGCUCAUCUAGAUGAAUGUUUAUUGCUCCCCCUCGAGGUGAUGCCUGAAAGUAAACAUCAACGUAUGAGGGGAUUGAGAUUUUUAUAAUACCACAGAGAGAGAGAGAGAGAGAGAGAGAGUGAGAGUGUGCCUGAUAAGCAAAAACAUCAGACUUUCCAAGUUUUUUGCACCAGUAUGAUGCAAGAGCACAAUGUGCGCUCCCACAAACAGGAUCCUGACAUAAAAAUUUAGCAGUAUUCAGAUUUAUGUACCAAAUGGUUUAAAUCCAUGUUAGCAGGUUAAGUCGGAUAUAUUCCAAUACUUUAGCUUGGGAUAAUGAAACUAACAAAGAUCGUGCGGAAAAAGAAAGACACAGGAAAAGGCCAAUCAGGUUAUUCAAAUGUUUUAAAUCCACUUUAGCAGAAAGAAAAAACAAAAGAAAAUAUAAAAAAGGAAAGGCUUAUUGAUGCAGAUACAUAGCAACAGCAUUUGGCACCAGGUAUCAGGCACUUGAGAGAAACUUGCUGAGAGAACAAUGCAAGCUGCUUACCUCAUCAAUUCCAUGUUUGGGACAGAAGAAUCUACUGUAAAAAUCAUAUCCAGAUUCCGGAGGAGCAAUCCCCGUAACAAUCACUCCCCUAGACCCUGGACACUGUCGAAUUGCAUCAAUCUGCGGCUGUAAAUCUGUGACAGCUUUUGCUGAUGGAAGCACAACCUUGAAAAAUGAAACCAGUAUCACUUAAGAGUGCAUGCUAGACUGCACAGGCAAUCCAGUAAAAUAAAAAUUUGUCCGUUGUUUUAUACGCUUCUAUCAAUCGAAAGCAUAAUAGGGAAUUGAAAAUGUAGGUUUCUAGAAGGAUUGUAGGACUUACAAGUAAAUCAUCUGUGACAGUUGUCCUCCUUAUUUCAACCAUAGAAGCACCAUCUAAGGCCUUAGAGAUUACCGAAACAUCACCAGAGUUGAAUUCAUUAGACGGGUCGGCAGGAAAAUUCAGUUCAACAAAAUAGGACUCUUGUGCUUCCCCAUUGUGAGUAUUCAAACCGUUGGCUGUCUUAACAUCUGGAACCUUUUUAGCUUUUAGGAUUCCCGAUAAUGUGGCAAACUCAACAAUGUCGGACUUUACCAAACCAGAGUUAAAGAGAGUGUAUGCAGCUGCUAAUGUUGCAUGACCACAAAGCUCAACCUGCACAAAAGGCAAUCAAAUUUUCAAGAUCAAUGAAGGAAGCAUAGCUACUUCAUACACUGGUGACAAAAUCAAGACAUUAGCAAUACCACUUCAGUAGAGUGCCACAUAAUCACAUCAAAAUUUAGGGAAACCUGAGUGAGGGCUCGUUUGGAGAUUCUUUUCUAGAAAGUACUUAUGCCCAUAAGCAUUAUUGUUAGAAGCACGUCCAAACAACAACAACAACAACAAAGCCUUUUCCCACUAAGUGGGGUCGGCUAUAUGAAUCCUAGAACGCCAUUGCGCUCGGUUUUGUGUCAUGUCCUCCGUUAGAUCCAAGUACUCUAAGUCUUUUCUUAGAGUCUCUUCCAAAGUUUUCCUAGGUCUUCCUCUACCCCUUCGGCCCUGAACCUCUGUCCCGUAGUCACAUCUUCGAACCGGAGCGUCAGUCGGCCUUCUUUGCACAUGUCCAAAUCACCGGAGCCGAUUUUCUCUCAUCUUUCCUACAAUUUCGGCUACUCCUACUUUACCUCGGAUAUCCUCAUUCCCAAUCUUAUCCUUUCUCGUGUGCCCACACAUCCCACGAAGCAUCCUCAUCUCCGCUACACCCAUUUUGUGUACGUGUUGAUGCUUCACCGCCCAACAUUCUGUGCCAUACAACAUCGCUGGCCUUAUUGCCGUCCUAUAAAAUUUUCCCUUGAGCUUCAGUGGCCUACGACGGUCACACAACACGCCGGAUGCACUCUUACACUUCAUCCAUCCAGCUCGUAUUCUAUGGUUGAGAUCUCCAUCUAAUUCUCCGUUCUCUUGCAAGAUAGAUCCUAGGUAGCGAAAACGGUCGCUUUUUGUGAUCUUCGCUAGAUUUGCUCCGGUCAUUAGUGUGGAUAAGUAUAUAAAUGGAUAGAGAUAGGAAAGCAAACACAAGAUGUACGUGGUUCACCCAGAUUGGCUACGUCCACGGAAUAGAAGAGUUCUCAUUAAUUGUGAAGGGUUUACACAAGUACAUAGGUUCAAGCUCUCCUUUAGUGAGUACAAGUGAAUGAUUUAGUACAAAUGACAUUAGGAAAUAUUGUGGGAGAAUGAUCUCGUAAUCACGAAACUUCUAAGUAUCGGAGUGUGGUGUCGUCUUGACUUGCCUUAUCUGUCUCAUAGGUAGAUGUGGCAUCUUCUCUGGAAGUACUCUUCCUCCAUCCAGGGGUGGUAUCUUUAACUGGUGGAGAUGCACAAGGUAAUGUAUCAAUUUCACUUGAAGCUUACUUGUAGUUUCAGGCUUGGUCAAGCGCGAUACAAACCAUGUAGUAGGAGUCCCCAAGUCGCCGAGCUAGGGGGUCUGCUGAAAGAGGUGACAGACAAGGUAAGCAAUCAGAGCUCCGACUGAUUGUUCACCUUCUCCCCAUCUUGCAGGCAGCAUGAAGGAUAAAGAGAAGAAAAAUGAGAAGAGAUGAUAUGAGGAUACUUUUGCUUUUGAAGAAGUAACUUUCCACAGGCUUAUUCUUGAACUGAGCUGGAGGGUUUUCUGGUUUCCUCCAGAGUAUAAGGCCGACUGAAGAAUUUGAGGGUCAAAACAAGUCCAUCAAAUCUAGAGUACGUUCGACCCUGCUGAUAUGGGAUACUUUUGCUUUUGACAGAGUAAUGGAUGUAUCGGCACGUGUGCUGUUACGCUUUGUCUCCACAUGCUUCCUUGUAUCCUUCGCACUUGCCCUAUCUGUUCCUCAAGCAGAUGCGGAAUCUUCCCUGGAAACAUAAGAUGUUGAAGAUGAGUACUCGAGAGCAAUGCCAGGUAAGUAAUCAGGUAAGGGGUUCCAGGCAGUCAGUUCCUGGCUGGAAGCUUGAUUCCAAGUGCUGACUGAUUGCUCUCUUUCUCCUUGUCUUGCAGGUAAAAAACAAGGCCAAAGGAAAAGACAGGGAAAAAGCAUGAUAUGGGAUACUCUUGCUUUUAACCCUGAUGAUAUGAGAUAUUCUUGCUCUAGUAUAGCUUGUUUGCAGAGGUAUUAUCGGGGGGAAAGAAAGCUGAAUAUUUCGAAAGGCUUCGUUGGGAGUGCCCUCUCAGAUAUGAUGAAGGGUUGAGCAUUUUUGCAGGUCUGCCUGUCCGUUGGGGAUGGAGGUCGACAUAUAUAGGAGUCUCCCUAACAACAAGUAGUAAUGCUAUUCCUUUACCCUGCUUGGUCAUAGCACGGUAGUGGGAGCUGCCAGUUUCACAUGUUUUAACUCUGUCAGAGCACUUUGAAAAAGUGGUCUGUGGUAUCUGGCUCUCGAGAUUCGGAAAACGAUGCCUCUUCGAUUUUUGAGAAAGCAAUCAUGUUGGGGGUCUGACUCUCGAGAUUCGGAGAGCAGUGUCUCUUCGAUUUUUGAGGAAGUAAUCAUGUUAGGAGUCUGGCUCUCGAGAUUCGAAGGGCGGUGCCUCUUCGAUUUUGGAGCAAGCAAUCUUGUUGGGAGUGUUGUCUCGAAUGUGAGUAAAGGUUGGGCAUGUUUGCUAGUCUACCUUGCCACGAAGCACAAAGGUUGACACACAGGGACUUUCCAAUUAUCCAGCAAUGGUACUGUUCCUUUACCCUCUCUUCAAUUUUUGAGAAAGUAGUCAUGUUGGGAGUCUGGCUCUCGAGAUUCGGAGGACGGUGCCUCUUCGAUUUUGGAGCAAGCAAUCUUGUUGGGAGUGUUUUCUCGAAUGUGAGUAAAGGUUGGGCAUGUUUGCUAGUCUACCUUGCCACGAAGCACAGAGGUUGACACACAGGGACUUUCCAAUUAUCCAGCAGUGGUACUGUUCCUUUACCCUUGUGGGUAAUAAUAUGGUAGCUAGACCUUCAAAAUUUAUGUGUCUAAACUUUGUUAGUGCUGUUUCUUUGCUAUUCUUUUACCUUUCUUGGUCAGAGCGAUGUAGUGGGAGCUGCAAGCUUCACGUGCUCAACUUUGGCAAAGUUAUAUGUGGGUACCCAUGAGCUAUUGUUGCGUGUGGGAAGUGGGUGAUUGAACAGUAAGAUUCAUGUGCUUUCUACUUCACCAGAAGUCUUCGACAGAAUGCCCAUAAUUUCUGCAAAGCUGAGUGUGCGUGUGACAGGUGCUGACAAGGCUAGAAAAGUAGGUGCCUCUUCGAUUUCUGAGAUUGGCCCUCGUGGUCUCUGAGCAGCCCAGCUUUUGAGAAAGCGAGCGCCUCUUCGAUUGAUUCGGAGAACGAUGCCUCAUCGAUUUUUGAGAAAGCAAUCAUGCUGGGGUCUGGCUCUCGAAGAUUCGGGGAGCAGCGUCUCUUCGAUUUUUGAGAAAGUAAUCAUGUUGGGAGUCUGGCUCUCGAGAUUCGGAGGGCGGUGCCUCUUCGAUUUUGGAGCAAGCAAUCUUGUUGGGAGUGUUUUCUCGAAUGUGAGUAAAGGUUGGGCAUGUUUGCUAGUCUACCUUGCCACGAAGCUUCUCUUCGAUUUUUAAGAAAGUAGUCAUGUUGGGAGUCUGGCUCUCGAGAUUCGGAGGACGGUGCCUCUUCGAUUUUGGAGCAAGCAAUCUUAUUGGGAGUGUUUUCUCGAAUGUGAGUAAAGGUUGGGCAUGUUUGCUAGUCUACCUUGCCACGAAGCACAGAGGUUGACACACAGGGACUUUCCAAUUAUCCAGCAGUGGUACUGUUCCUUUACCCUUGUGGGUAAUAAUAUGGUAGCUAGACCUUCAAAAAUUUAUGGGUUUAAACUUUGUUAGUGCUGUUUAUUUGCUAUUCUUUUACCCUUCUUGGUCAGAGUGAUGUAGUGGGAGCUGCAAGCUUCACGUGCUCAACUUUGGCAGAGAACUUUGGCAAAGUUUUCUGUGGUACCCAUGAGCUAUUGUUGCGUGCGUGUGGCAAGUGGGUGAUUGAACAGUAAGAUUCAUGUGUUUUCUACUUCCCCAGAAGUCUUCGAUAGAAUGCCCAUAAUUUCCGCAAAGCUGAGUGUGCGUGUGACAGGUGCUGACAAGGCUGGAAAAGUAGGUGCCUCUUCGAUUUCUGAGAUCGGCCCUCGUGGUCUCUGGGGAGCCCAGCUUUUGAGAAAGUGAGCGCCUCUUCGAUUUCUGAGAUCGGCCUUUGUGGUCUUUGAGCAGCCCAACUUUUGAGAAAGCAAACGCCUCUUCGAUUUCUGAGAUCAACCCUCGUGAUCUCUAAGCAGCCCAGCUUUUGAGAAAGCAAACGCCUCUUCGAUUUCUGAGCAGGCGCCUCUUCGAUUUCUGAAGCUCCGUCGAGUGCAGAUUUUUAUAGGGGCUGGCAUUAAGUUCCAAAGCACACUUGAAUCUCCACCAGUAGAAGCUUCAUUCUUGCACUUCUAAGAUCUUGAUUUGUCCGACCUCUUCUCUCUUCAACACCUUUGAAAAUGUCUGGCCCCUCCGACCGUCGUUUUGACUUGAACCUUGUUGAAGAGGCAGCCCCGCCUUCUCCAGACAACAUAUGGCGUCCCAUCCUUCGUCUCCCCCACUGGUCCUCUUACCGUUGGGGAUUCCGUGAUGAAGAAUGAUAUGACCGCUGCGGUGGUGGCCAGGAACCUUCUCACUCCCAAAGAUAACAGACUACUUUCCAAACGGUCUGAUGAGUUAGCUGUUAAGGAUUCGCUGGCUCUCAGUGUUCAGUGUGCAGGUUCUGUGUCUAAUAUGGCCCAACGCCUAUUUGCUCGAACCCGCCAAGUUGAAUCAUUGGCGGCUGCUGAAGUGAUGAGUCUCAAACAGGAGAUUAGAGGGCUCAAGCAUGAGAAUAAACAGUUGCACCGGCUCGCACAUGACUAUGCUACAAACAUGAAGAGGAAGCUUGACCAGAUGAAGGAAACUGAUGGUCAGGUUUUACUUGAUCAUCAGAGAUUUGUGGGUUUGUUCCAAAGGCAUUUAUUGCCUUCGUCUUCUGGGGCUGUACCGCGUAAUGAAGCUCCAAAUGAUCAACCUCUGAUGCCUCCUCCUUCUAGGGUUCUGUCCAGUACUGAGGCUCCAAAUGAUCCCCCUCCGGUGCCUUCUCUUUCUGAGGCUCUACCGACUGCUGAGACUUCUCCUAAGCAACCUUUGUGAAGGCUCCCUCUUGUGUGUUUAUUUUGACUCAUGUAUAUGUACAUAUUUGUAGCUUAUCGGGGAUAUCAAUAAAUAAGCUUUCCUUCAUUUCAACGUAUUGUGUUAAAUACACCAAAGCCUUAUUCGCUAAGUUCUUUGAAUUUUCUUUUGUUGAAGCUUGUAUGUUGAAGCUUUCUGAGUGGAGCAUGUAGGUUGGGGUAGUGUUCCCUUAAUUUUCCGAGUGAGGAAAACUUCUCGGUUGGAGACUUGGAAAAUCCAAGUCACUGGGUGGGAUCGGCUAUAUGAAUCUUAGAACGCCAUUGUGCUCGAUCAUGUGUCAUGUCCUUCGUUAGAUCCAAGUACUCUAAGUCUUUUCUUAGAGUCUCUUCCAAAGUUUUCCUAGGUCUUCCUCUACCCCUUCGGCCCUGAACCUCUGUCCCAUAGUCGCAUCUUCUAAUCGGAGCGUCAGUAGGCCUUCUUUGCACAUGUCCAAACCACCGUAACCGAUUUUCUCUCAUCUUUCCUUCAAUUUCGGCUACUCCUACUUUACCCCGGAUAUCCUCAUUCCUAAUCUUAUCCUUUCUCGUGUGCCCACACAUCCAACGAAGCAUCCUCAUCUCCGCUACACCCAUUUUGUGUACGUGCUGAUGUUUCACCGCCCAACAUUCUGUGCCAUACAGCAUCGCCGGCCUUAUUGCCGUCCUAUAAAAUUUUCCCUUAAGCUUCAGUGGCAUACGGCGGUCACAUAACACACCGGAUGCACUCUUCCACUUCAUCCAUCCAGCUUGUAUUCUAUGGUUGAGAUCUCCAUCUAAUUCUCCGUUCUUUUGCAAGAUAGAUCCUAGGUAACGAAAACGGUCGCUCUUUGGUAUUUCUUGAUCUCCGAUCCUCACCCCUAACUCGUUUUGGCCUCCAUUUGCACUGAACUUGCACUCCAUAUAUUCUGUCUUUGAUCGGCUUAGGCGAAGACCUUUAGAUUCCAACACUUCUCUCUCAAAGGUUAAGCUUUGCAUUUACCCCUUCCUGAGUUUCAUCUAUCAACACUAUAUCGUCUGCGAAAAGCAUACACCAAGGAAUAUCAUCUUGAAUAUGUCCUGUUAAACUCAUCCAUUACCAACGCAAAAAAGGUAAGGACUUAAGGAUGAGCCUUGAUGUAAUCCUACAGUUAUGGGAAAGCUUUCGGUUUGUCCUUCAUGAGUUCUUACGGCAGUCUUUGCUCCUUCAUACAUAUCCUUUAUAGCUUGGAUAUAUGCUACUCGUACUCCUUUCUUCUCUAAAAUCCUCCAAAGAAUGUCUCUUGGGACCCUAUCAUACGCUUUUUCCAAAUCUAUAAAGACCAUGUGUAAAUCCUUUUUCCCAUCUCUAUAUCUUUCCAUCAAUCUUCGUAAGAGAUAGAUUGCCUCCAUGGUUGAGCGCCCUGGCAUGAACCCGAAUUGGUUGUCCGAAACCCGUGUCUCUUGCCUCAAUCUAUGCUCAAUGACUCUCUCCCAGAGCUUCAUUGUAUGACUCAUUAGCUUAAUACCCCUAUAGUUCAUGCAAUUUUGUACGUCGCCCUUAUUCUUGUAGAUAGGCACCAAAGUGCUCGUUCGCCACUCAUUUGGCAUCUUCUUCGUUUUCAAAAUCCUAUUGAAAAGGUCAGUGAGCCAUGUUAUAUACCUGUCUCUCCCAAAAGUUUCCACACUUCGAUUGGUAUAUCGUCUGGGCCUAUUGCUUUUUUUAUGCUUCAUCUUCUUCAAAGCUACAACCACUUCUUCCUUCCGGAUUCGACGAUAAAAAAGAGUAGUUUCUACACUCUUCUGAGUUACUCAACUCCCCUAAAGAAGCACUCAUUUCAUGUCCUUCAUUGAAAAGAUUAUGAAAAUAACCUCUCCAUCUGUCUUUAACCGCGUUCUCUGUAGCAAGAACCUUUCCAUCCUCAUCCUUGAUGCACCUCACUUGGUUUAGGUCUCUUGUCUUCUUUUCCCUUGCUCUAGAUAGUUUAUAGAUAUCCAACUCUCCUUCUUUGGUAUCUAGUCGUUUAUACAUAUCGUCGUAAGCCGCUAACUUAGCUUCUCUAACAGCUUUCUUCGCCUCUUGCUUCGCUUUUCUAUACCUUUCACCAUUUUCAUCGGUCCUCUCCUUGUAUAGGCUUUCUAUUUUUUGUUCAACCCAUAGGCAAUUUCAACUUUUUCUGUUAGAAAGCGUCUUUAGGAACCAGUGUUAAAUAAAUCCAUAUGCCAAAAAGGAACCAUUUUUACUUUCUAAUAAAUCAUGGGGUAAAUUUAAAAUUUCAACCUUGUUAGCGUGUGCAUUUAAAAGUUAAACACUUGAAACUAAGGAAACUCUAGAGAUCAACAAUUUUGAACUUUCUACUUCAUACAUUGGUUAAGAUUAAGAUUUAAGAAUUUCUAAAUAUCUAAUUUUAAAAAAAAAAUUGAGUUAAAGGCCCGUUUGAAAUGCUUAUCUAGAAAACACUUCCACUCAUAAACCUUUUUGCUCGAAGCGCAAUUAGUAGAAGCACGUCCAAAUUUUAAUAAAGUCCAAGUGCUUUUACAAGCCAGAAGCACUUUUCCAACUGCUUUAACUACCCAGUUACACUUUCAAAUAAACCGUUAUGCUAAAAGCCUAAAAGGAACAAAUUUAAAGAAUUCCUGGCUGUUUUCGAUACACUCAAAUCUUUUGGUGGAUUCCAUAUCGACCCAGAUAAAAGUUGAACAAUUGGAAACCAAGGAACGUGUAAAGAUUGAUAUGAUACUACGAUGCAUGGACACGGGGAAAACUCAACGUAUCCCGUAUCUGACACGCAGGGAUACGGAUACGUACAGAAUACGUACGGAUACGCUCCCGAUACGUAUCAGAAUGAAGGGAUACGUUAUUUAUUGAUGAGAUACGCGUAUCAUACUGUCGAGAUACGCGUAUCAUAAUUUUCGGAUACGUUUCAAACAAAAUCUGAGGAUAAUCAGGAAAAAAAAUCCAAAUCAGAGGAUACGGAUUCCGCACAGAAUCGUGAUUGAUUCGAAUUAGAUAACUGAAACGAUUGUUUAACUAAAAACCAAAACGAUUUCGAACCUCAGAAAUCAGACUUGUUGUCUGCAAUUGCUCCGUCCGUCUGUCGUCUCUAUCGUUUCCGUCUGCAACUAAUUCGUCGUCUCCAUCGUCUCCGUCUGCAACUGCUGGUGAGAGCCUUCGACUUCGUUUUCACUUUGUUAAUUUUGAAACUCAAUCUGUACAGAACCCUUUUCUGUUUUUUUUCGAACCUAAAAGCCCCAACCUCUGUUUCUGUUUUUAUUCGAAGCUAAAAGAAAGCCUCUGUUCAAUCUGAUUGAUUUGAAAACCUGUUCAAUCUGAUUGCUUUUUGUAUAUAAUAUUAUUUUGUAUUUUGUGUAUUAUAAAUAAUAUAAUAUUGUACUUUCAUGAUAUUUAGAUUAUAAUAUUUAUGGAUAUGCUUUCAUGAAUGUGGAGACUACUUUAGUUACUGGAUGAACCGUCAUUGGAUACUACUUUAGUUACUAGAGGAGACAUCAUGAACGUGGAAGUUGAAUGAGACUUUGUUUUUUUAAUUUUAGUUUGGAUGUUCAUUUUAAUUUUUCAAGUUUGAAGACUAAUUGCUUGUUGGAUGGACUAUCUUUCUAACUAUUUGGAGUUUAUUGAAAUAAAUUUAAAUUUGAGUAAUAAAUUUGAAUGCUUAUUUUAAAGUAUUUUAGAUAUAUUUAUAUAUAUUUUUAAUUGCCGUAUCCCAAACGUAUCGUGUCUUCGUUUUUAGAAAUUUGACGUGUCCCGUGUCGUAUCGUGUCGUAUCCUCGUAUCCGUGUCCGUAUCCAUGCAUCGUAGAUAUGAUAUGAAUGGAAAGCGUUGAAUUGAAGGGAGGUGAGCUCAUACCUCAUUGGAAGGAGUGAACCAUCUGAGACCGAACCGAGGAGUUGAGUCAGACUCAGUGAGCCGAGUCAAGUAACAUGUCUCGGAGAGGUUGAACUCGGAGGCCACGGCUUGUAACCACUGGUCGUCUCUUUCUUCCUCCAGCAAGCAAACCGCUGCUGGGUUCCCUUUGAAAGCGGAGUCUGUGAACGCGUCCACCUGCAACAAGCAAGUUCAAACACUCAAUUCAUACACACAGAAGAGAGAGAGAGAGAGAGAGAGAGUACCACAGAGUAUUUCACAGCUUUCUUCGCCAUGGAAUUGGAAUGGAAAAUCGAAAUGAUUGUGGAGCAAAGACCUGGAAAGUAGCUCUCUCUCUCUCUCUCUCUCUCUCUAUAUAUAUAUAUAUAUAUGUAUAUAUAUAUAUAUAUAUAUUACUCUUCGCGGGUGGGUAAAGAGUUUCAAAACAAAAGCGCUUUUGGUAAAAGCAAAUCAAAAAGCACUUUUAAGUAGAAAUGCUAAAGCAGUUUCAAACCGCAACCCAACAUAUACAAUGAAUUCCAUGUGGAAAAUAGUUGGCAUCUCAAGACGUAUGGGAUCUUUCUUCCUUCAUAUCAUAUCCUAUGAUUUUUUAUGUGGAAAAUGUUAGAACCAAUCAAAUGUCACUUAUACAAUAUAAAAUAAUUUGCAUGGUUUAUUUUUGAAUGACAACUUGAACAACAAAUACAAUAUAUCGAAAUAUAAACACUUAAUGAAAUUGCAUAUACAAUCACAAAUCACUGACUUGUUAUUUGAAGAUAGAGGUUUGCAAAAGCAAUUUCCUAAGACAUAAAUUUGCCAUACACUAGUGCAGUAGUUCAAUGGAUGCCUAUCUUGCAUGAUACAACUAUCUAAUCCAAGUUUUUGCACUCGAACUUGGAUUCUUGGCGAAUUGAUUGUGUGUUUAUCUGUGAAUAUAUGGAAAAAGGAAGAGAUGGACUUGUUGUUUUGGUUUCUGAUCUGACGGCCAUAUUUAUAAUGGCGUAAUGGAGCAGUUAAAGUCGUUCAUGUUUAUCUUUAAGAACGAUUGUAACUAGGGCUGGGCAAACGGGCCCUGGGCCCGCGGGUAGGGGCGGGUAUUGGCGGUUCGGGGCGGGUCCAUAAUAUUUUAUGUACAAAACAAGGCGGGGCGAGGCGGGUCCAAGUAAACAAAGGGGCGGGCCGGUUCCAAUUUUCCAAAGUGACGGGCCCCCAGCCCGAACCGUAUCACACACACACACUCAAAUCUCGCACACAUCACAUCUUUCUCGAAGACUCCCGAGCCCUCCCCGAGUCCUCCAUCUCGAUCUCUCUCCCCCAGAUUCGUCCCUCUUGAUCUCUCUCUCCCAGAAUCCUCCCUCUCGAUUCUCAGUCCCCUCUCAUUCGUCCUUCCCUCUUGAUCUCUCUUUCCCAGAAUCCUCCCUCUCGAUUCUCAGUCCCAUCUCCCACUCGAGUCGAGUCCUCUUGUGAACACCACCAUCGCCAUCGUCUCCUGACACUUCUCCCAAAUGUGACCACCCAUCACCGCCGUCGAAAACAGCACCAUCAUCCUGCGAUUCGAAAUAUCAUGUCAUCUUCUCUCAAAUUAAGGUAAUUUCUAGAUUAGGGUUUUUGAAUUAUCUGGGUUUUUUAGUUCAGGGAUUUAGGACUUUUGAAUUAGGAUUUUUGAAAUUUCUAGGUUAUGGGGAGUAUUCGGAAUUUUUAUUUUCUGGGUUGGUGGGGAAAUUGGAUGAAGUUGCAUAAAUUUUGAAUCUUUCAGUAAGCUGCAUAUGAAGAUGAAGUUGGCAAGCUUGAGCUUUCAGUAAUCUGCUAAUCUUUCAGUAAUUUAGAGUUGUAUAUAACUUCUGAAAUUUAUAUGAUUGACAAUUUGAUUUUGGUUGAGAUUUGUUUAUUUGUUCAAGCUUUGUCAUUUUUUGUUUGUAUUGUAAAUUUGAUUGCUCAAGCUUUGUCUUCUGAAUUUAGUUUUCGAUUGUAGAACAAGACUCAGUCUUACAAGGUGGAGUGCCGAUUGGAAAAACGCUACUCUUUCGUAUGCAGCAAGGGCGGAGGAUGCAGCGGCGGAGGAUGCAAGCUGUUAGGGUUUUUUCUGUUGGGCUUGGUUUUGUUAUCAGGUCCAUACUUUUGUUGUUGUGUUUGUAUGGGCCUCUCUUGUAAAUGUAAAUAUGUGAGUUGUUGGUAAUAAAAAAAGGAGCCCAAUGUCAGACCCAAAAAAAAAAAAAGUAAUUGGACCCGUGGACCCGUCCCGAACCGGCCCGUUUCAAACGGGCCAGGUUAGGUCCGGUUCUCAAACUUAAAAUCUCUCUACCCAACUCGGCCCGGCCCGUUACAUUUUAAAACGGGUAGGUCCGGUUCCUCAGAAUUUGGGCCCGGCCCGGCCCGUGCCCAACCCAAAUUGUAACUGUUCACGUAAUUAGUUUUAUCCUUUUAGAAAAAAACUGAAUGCAAAAAUCAAAAACAUAAAAAUGAUACUUGUGUUUUUCAUCCAUCCGAGCCCAAGAGCCCCAAUGCCCAUCUUUGACAUUUAAUAUAUGCACCCAAACCCUCCAAGUCUAGAGGCCAAGAUCCCAUGGCCUUGGCCCAAUUCUUUUCAAAUCAUAAGUGAGUGAACUCAAUUAUAAAGAGAUGUUUUGAAAAAGGUUUGGGCGAUGUGGGAUUGGGAGUCCCUCACAAGUUCCAACAGAAAAUAGCAAGCACAUUGCGUGUGAGAACCUUUCUUUCCGUACUGACAAAUCACAGUCCAACACGAGAUGAAGAUUAAAACCUGAGAUGCAAGAGACAAGAGACAAGGUGGCCGAUCUCAUCUUUUAUUGAUUUUUUAUAUUUCAGAGUUAUUUAUAAUAAGAACAGUUACGCCCGUAAGUAUGAAAUUCCAUGAUUUAAUCACAAAUUACUUUGAGGAGGAACUCAUCAUCGUCCAUUGAGGAGCCAAGUUAAUUCCUUUUAUGAUUGUUUUGGUUCAUGGGUCGUUUCAAACUAUAUGAACACUUUAGCUUUCGCCAAUCAGUUUUGCUGUUGAAAAUACGACACUCAAAGCGAAAAAUCGAGUUCUUGCAAUCAACUUCAUUCGUUGAGCGACGGAAAUAGUACAUUCUGACAUAAUCUUUACAAAGUACAAACCCUUGAGAGAUCAAUGAACUAGUUGUAGGAGACGAUCAGGGCAAUGUGAGUGAGUAAUUUACAUGGUGUAAUUCACAAGGUUACAUACAACACAUGAUGCCUAACUUUAUUAACACAUUAACCAGAUGGAAAUGGAAUCACCACAUUCCUUGUUUGUUCAUCUUCGAGAAAUGGGACAGAGUGAUCUUUGGAAGUUCGAUCGGACGCCUGUUCAUCUUGAGGAAUAUCUAGUGAGGACGUUUCCUGGCCAACGAGCACACAGCUCCCUAAGAGGUUGGCGCCGGUUGAUAUCGUAUAUCGGGCUUCUGCUUAUUGGCGGGUUGUAAGAGAAUGACAGUUAAUUCUGAAAGGUGCCUUUAUAGGGCCUUAGGUGUAGGCAUUGAGGCUCGCAAUCAAAAUCAACUUUAAGUACCCAGGCAUGCCACUGUCAUCUUUAGCAUGACAGAUGUAAAACAGAUGUUAAGUUUUAUUAUAUAUAUAUAUGUCCGAGAGACCAAGUUAGUUAUGAAAGGUGCCUUUGUGGGGCCUUAGGUGUAGGCCUUGAGGCUUCCCGUCAAAACUAACCAAAUACUUGAACAUAUAUUGGUUGUUUCAUUGUUGUAGAAGUAUUACAACCGUUAUACUUUAAUCAUCCGAGCCCGCAGAGCAGAACGAACUCAGAUAGGUGCCUUUGUCGGGCCUUAGAUAUAGGCAUUGAGGCUUCCUAUCAGAAUUAAUUCUAUACUCAAGCGUUAUGUAGCAAUCAUGAUAUAACAGAAGUAAAACUAGAAAAUAGGCCAAUUACUUGCGCCCCAAGUAACUUCGGACUUCUUGUUAUCAAGGACUGUCGUGGAUGGGUUAAGUCCACAUAGGGUUCUUUUUUAUGCCUUGAGACCAAGGACUGUUAAUUGAUCAAUCUUGUCCGCUCGAAUGGUUAGAACUUAGAAGUCUUUUAAUCAUAAACUGGCUAGAAAUAACUUGGAUGCAGAUGGAAAUAUACAUCAUAUUACUGGAUUUAUGAAUGAAAGACAAAAACAAAGGAGGUCGGGCAAGGUUUCACUUUGUCGGGCAAGGCUGAUCAUCUUGCAACUUCCUCUCUUUGUGAUUUACAAAGGGUUUGAGUGCUAGAAGGGGAGAUUAGAAGAUGAGUUUACAUGAGGGAAUCAAUACUACAGCAAGAUUUAGACAGGGUAGCACAGCUUUUACAAAGGCUUUCUGGUGAAGGUUGAUCCCGAAAGGGAUGAAGGCUUGGUGCUGACUACAACUUCGUAUGCAAAUCUGGCUUGAGUAGAGUUUGUGUAUUUGUUUGUUUGAUUGAGUGUCCUUAUCUCUGAUUUUUCUUCCUCCUUUUAUAGACAAUUUGGCUUGGCUGCCUGCAGUAUUGAUUUUGCCCGAAUGCAUCUGAAGGGCAGUGACUCAUCAACUUUUACUUGUACUGUCAUUGUAAAGUACUUUUGGGCUGAUUAACUGGUUGGUCUACACCACCUGACCUCUAGGUAGGUGAGCAGGUGGUUUGAAUGAUCUGCAUUUGGUCGGGAAAAAGGCUCAUUCUUUCUUCUGGGCUUCAACUGGGCCUUGGACUUUUCCUCAUUCUGGACCUUCUUUUGGGCUAACCCAUUUUUAACCUAAAGUUCAAGUUUUAUCCCAAACAGUGCCCCUUUUCAAUUAAUAUUCAAGCUGGAAUUCCAGGCACCAAUAUUGAUUGAAUAGCUGCCCUUCAUACCCACGUCUUUACUGAGACUUGCACCCUUCUCAAAAAACAACUGUCACUUACCUGUAAUCUUUUCACUAACCCAUAAAUCAUCAGUUAUCCCUAAUAUGAAAUCCCCCUUUUCAGAAUUUCCUACCUUCCCAGAUACUCUAUUUCUUCCAAAUUUCAGACUCCCAUUUGCUCUUUGUUCCAUAUCUUCUGCCCUUGUCACAUUCUUAUCACGCCUUUUCCAAACUUAUCAAAUGGCUUCAAGAUUCAGCCAAGUCCAGCUAUCAUACGAAUCUGGUGAAGGCAUCGCUACCUUACGCCGUUUACUUAACGGAUUGCAUCGCCCUCGGGCAUGUUUGUGCUCUGAACUUUUCUUUGAAGCCCAUGUGGUACAAUCGUUGGGUCCUGCAUGGAUUUCUCGCGUCCCUGCUGUGAUAGAAAUAAUAUGCCCAGGGGUAACUGGUUUGCCCCUAAUCCUUUUUUGGCCAAGUCGGGCAUCUCUUCAGCUAAAUGGUCAUCAUACCAUCGUGGCUUUCCCCUAAUGAACGACCCAGCUUGGACUCAGUGGAUUGAUGAACUAGAGCCAAUCUUCAAGAAGAAGUGGAUGAACAAUGGUAUUUACGAACUAAUAAUGCUUUCAAAAACUACCAUUGUUCCCAAGCUCGAACUGCUUGCUACUUCUCUUCUUUUCUAGAAUUCAGGCAUGAAUACUUUUGAUUUUCGCAUGGGUCCCAUGUCUCCGACUGUUCUAGAUAUGGCCCAAGUCUUCGGGCUAAGACCAUCGGGCAGGAUUGUAGAUGUUACCCAAGACUGGGUUCCCUCUUCCUCUUCAAUCGCUAAAAGCUCCGGUUCCUCCGCCUCUUUUCUUUAAUUAGAAUACAACUCUGCAACCUUUAAGAGUUACGAGACUUCUUUCAAGGGAUUCAUCCCCUUUGUCAAGGAGAAUUUUGGUGCAGAUUCCUCUCGUGCUAACAAAGAUCAAGAACAUAUGUAUUUCCUGUUAUACUGGCUCAACAAGCAUGUCUUCCCAAAUAAAUCUAAAGGGGUGAAGGUUGAAUGGAUCCUCUUAGUGGAAGCCCUUCAUAACUUUGAUGAUGUAGCCACAGGUCCAUUCCUUCUUUCUCAUCUUUAUCAUCUCCUCUUUGAAAUGACUCAAGGUGAGCCAUUUGAAACCAAUCUGAACGGACCCAUAUGGAUGAUCCAAAUAUGGCUCUAAUGGUAUUUCCCAAAAUUUCGGGCCAGUAACUUAGAAUUCCCAUAAGGUGUAACCCCUGCUCGAAUCCUAGCUGAAGCUACUCCCAUAGAUCACUCUACUUUUGCCUGUUUUUAUUUCUUCAAGGUUUGUAGAACCCGAUCAUACCUGGAGUGGGGUGCUUCAGUUUUAAGGAGAUAUCCUUGGUUCUCUAAUCAAGCAUUCCAAGACACUCUCGGAGAAGAUGCCAUCUCAUUUUGCAAGGAGAAAUUCAUCAGUUGUAUUCAACAAAGAAACAUAGCCUGGGAAGUUCGUGGCAACCGUUAUGAUCGCGAUUAGAAGUGUAUCACCCUAAUUUUUGUAGCAGGCAAUUAGGCUUUAGGCAAGCCAUUCCUAUCCCCUUUUUUUACUCUGUCCAUUGUGGCACUUCCUUCCGGUUAUCAUCCCCUUCAGAGGUGACCUUUCGGGUUGCCCGACAAAGUCUUGAAGUUAUGAAUCAGGUUGCCCGAAAGUCUAUAAUUCUGAACUUCGAAUGUACUUCACUUUUCUCCACCUAGUGGGAAGCCAAAUGGACCAAGAAAUAUGGAGAAGAUUUGCGAGAAACUUACGACCGUCUCUUUUGUCAACUUUCCCUCAAGUCAUACCCAAGUUCAGGCGAACUUGGAAACUGGAAGGAAAUGAUUCAGCAAAAGAACUGGUUACUUUUGAUAAGUAUUUCUCUCCCCACCUCGACUCUGCCUUCCUUUGAAGUUAAAGUUAUUUAGUCUUAUUUUCCUUGAUCUUGCAGCUCAAGUAGAUGUCAAAACAGCAUCCAUUGAAUCAGAGGAUGAUUCAGCUGAUGCAGCAGUUCUUCAUGGAGCCACAGUAGAAGCUCAAAGGCGAAAAGCUGGAGUAGGCGGAGAUGUUUCAAAAUCUUUUAGAGAUUCAGAUGCUGAAAAAGUACCCGAAGUAAACAUCAAGGCGUCUAAGCGGAGAAAAGUAGUUGUGGUCGAGACCUCAGAAUCUGAACUUGCAUCACCACCCAAACCUAAACGGCCAACUCUCACACUUCUUCCAAGCUUCCAAAUCUUCAACCUACUCAGCUCCAGUUUCUAAGGCAUGCAUAAUGAAGCAAAAGUCUUCAAGUAAGUUUUUUUGCUUUCCUUUAAUCAGACUUCCACCCUUCUUCAUUAUCUGAUUGUCCCUGCUUUCUUCUAAAUCAGGGCCUCAUACUUCUAAGAAACCAACUAUCGCACCCAGGAAGGGUCCACUAGGAACUGAAAUGCAUCAAAGAGCUGAAGAUCUGCAGAAGGCCAUCCUCAGGGAGCGUGAGGUAUUUACUUGUAUUUUCAUCUGCAUGAUCUCCCUUACUUUUCUUUAAACUUUGAACAUGAUUGCCUGAUUAGGCUGUAAGUGAAGAAAAGAUUCUUCUGCCCGAGGUUUCUGGAAUAAAUGACCGAACUUUUUUCUUCAUUUCUUUUUAUCCAGGUUGGGGUAUCUGCCCCCUUGCCUAGCCAAGGUUCCCAUCCAAAGUCUUAUAUUUCUCCUUCUGCUCUGGAUGUAACUCCAUCUUCUCAAUUUAAUCUAACAACAGAAGUUAUGUUGCAUUUUGUAAAUGAAGACAGCAGUUUGGUGAGCAGUUGUUUUGAUAUUGAACUUCUAUACACUGUGCCCGUACUAACUUUCCAUUUACAUUUCCUCUAGCCAUAUCCAAUACAUGAAUCACGACGACCAUCAGUGGUAACACUUAAAGAACCCGUAGCCCCUGAAAUUCCUAUGACUCCAAGGGUAGCUAUUUUGCAAGUGUUUCCUUGCCCAAUAGCUACUACCGAUGAACCCCCUUCUUCUCCCCCUUCUUCUCCCCUCACUCAGGUAUAGAUAUAUUUUUCUUUAUGUUCUCUUCUCAUACUUGUUUACUAACAAUUGCUAUAAUACCUGGAUGCUCUUAGGGCAUUGGUGAAGGUUCGGGCACAACUUUUUCUUCCCCUGUUGGUGGUAGUGAUUCUCCUCCUCAAACAGGAGCUGAUACUCUUUCUUUUAAAACCCUAGGGCCCAUUCAGGCAUAUUUCUUCUUCCCAAAGUUUGUUUCUACUUUAAACUAUUUAACUGUUUUCUUGCCUUAAUCUAGUCUUCUUUAGUUCUUUUAAUCUAGUCUUCUUUGGUUCUCGCAGCAGGCCAUAAGAGAGGCUUCGGGCAAGUCUCCCCCACGUGUGGUGUAUAAAACGGAGUUCCCCCGGCCUUCUUCAACUUCUGGAGAUACAGGGAUUUCCUUCCCUAGAAUUGAGAUGAUCAGGACUGAAGUCACCUUAUCAGCAGUUACUACUCCAUCAGAAGAAACUGGAGUACGAACCCCUCUCCCUUCUUUUUCAUUUUCAACAACUGCUGAUUUGCCCGAACUUUUUGAAGAAUUCGGGCAACUUGAAACAAGGCUGAAAUCUUCAAAGCGUUCUUCUGAACCUUCUGGCUUUCAAGAGAAACGUCGAGGUUUCCAAAAUUGGGUGAAAAAAGACUUCUCAGCUUCAUUCAGCCUUAAGGCUCUUCAUGACAUAGAGAAGGUUACGAUAGAGCUCUUCAAGGCCGGCCAGUUAUCCAAAACCCAACAUGAUUCAUUUUUCUCUUUCUUUGAGAACUUGAGGGCUCUCAGGGAUCAACAUCAGAGAGCUGAAAGACAAGUCAAUCGUGUAAAAUGCUUCAGGGAGAAAGAAUUGAGUAUUUCUGCUCAGGUCGAACAGUUAAUGGAUGAGGGCUUGCUGACAAAAGAAAGGAUUGGAGUGGUAACUUUUGAAAUCCAGAAGUUGGAAGAACAACUUAUUGUUCUUAAGGCUGAGCAAAAAACCCUUCUUAGUACCCUUAAACAUCAAAUUGAAGAAGUGAAGAAGUCAAACUUAGAGCUAGAACACGCUAGAUCUCAACUUGCUAAUAGCAACAUUGUUCUAGCCGAACUUGGUAGAAUUUUUACAAUCAUGUAGACUUAUCAUUCCCGAAUAAUUACUUUGAGUGAAGAUGUAAAUUUGUUAGACUAGAAUCACUUGUAACCCUUCUUUUAUCAAAAUGAACAUGUGUUUUGCCUUUGCUUGUCUCGCUCAUGGCCCCAUUUGCAUUGUAAAUCCUAUGUUAUAUCUUCGGGCAACUCCCUGCCCCCCUUUUUAUUUUCUUUUUUGCUUCCCUUACCAAUACCAAUUUCAGGACCUAAUCAUGAUCAAUUGGUCCUCCUUCUGAUACUAUUAUUGACGUGGAGGUGUUGGGGCAACAUGGGAUCUAUUUCCCUCUUCUUUCAUAACAAAUGAUGACCCCAACUUUUCUACCCAAACCAGGUUGAUCGUAUUGAUAGGGGCCUCCAGGAACGGGUUUGUAUCAACCAUCAUACUGGUUUAGGGCUUGUCAAGCAACAGUUUGCCCUUCACUAUAAGAUCUUGUAUCCAAUCUAUGAACUGGACAUAAUUGGUUAUAGAAUGGUUGAAGGUAUAGUGCAACUUGCAAUACUUCUUCCCCCUUAGUUUUUCUGGCUUAGGCAUCUUCUUAGUAUUGUCGGGUAAAAUUAUUCUUGCCCGCACCAGUUCUUCAUAGAUCUCGGGAGCUUUGGCCAAGUCAAAUGAAUAACUCUAGUACUUGGGAGGUUUCAUAGGGACGAACCCUCCAUCAUUCAUUACGAUUUUCUGGUCUUUGAUGGGUUGAACCAACCCUUUCACCAUUAAUAGUUUGAAAGGCGUGGUCAUCUCAGCAACACAAACAUCAAUUUCCUCUCUAUCAUGACCAUCUUCAUGCUCUGGCCUUGCUUUUUCCACCUCCACACGAUGAAUUGCAGCUUUGUUUUUGUAAAAGGGAAGAGUCUUGGAAGUAUGCUUCACUUGUUGUUCUUCUAGCAGCAAUCUUUCAUACUUUGUGGCGGCGAUUACCAACUCCUGUAACUCAUUGAAUUGUGUAUCAUAGAACCUUUUCCUCAGAGGUAAUCUUAAAGCCCUCUGAGCAAUUGAUAUAAGCUGAGCUUAGUUAACAGGGAAUUGGCAUCUCAUUCUUAUCUUUCUGAACCUCAUCAUGAAAUCUUCUGCGAUCUCAUGGUCGUAUUGUUUGACUUCAACCAGGUCAUUGAUAGUCAUUUCUGGUUCUAUUCUGUAAAACUAUUCAUAGAAGGCCAUCUCCAUCUGCCCUCAGUUGGCAAUAGAGUUACGGGGCAAUAGAGAGUACUACUGAGAUGUUAGCCCUGCCAAUGAAUUUCGAAACAACCUCAACUUGUAGUUCGGGUUGUCUUUAUAUGCCACACAAUGAUUGGAGAAUUUGAAAAUAUGAUCUCUAGAGGACACACUUCCAUCUUCUCCCGUGAAUGUUGGGAAUGCAGGCAUUUUAAAGUUGAUAGGAAAUGGGUUCUACUCAUCAAUAUAUUCAGGAUAAGGUUUUUGAUAGGUAACCCUGAAUACUGGACGAGCUUGUGGUUGAGCAUUAUGGGCCACCGUCUUUCUUAAUUCAGCUAGCUCUUCCCUCAGUUGUUGAGUAGCUGUAUUAUUAUUAUGGAAGAUAAGAGCAGCUUCAUUCUUUGGGCUUCGGUCAUUGACCGUACCUGCUUCCUUUUUUUACUCGGGCUUUCUCCAGUUGGCUCAUCCUCCCAUUAUUAGCCAACGGAGGUGGCCUAUAAGGAGGAGACUUAUCUGAGGUGAUAAAGCCUUCUUUUUCGCUGGGUUCUCCGGUUAUUAUGGGCAUCUCAUACCUCGUCAUUUCUUGUUCGCUCUGCUUCCUAUUAUUAAAUGAUAAUAAUAGGAAGCUAGGGAAUUCUUUUUCUAGAACCGGUUCAAUUAUGGACUGACUUCCUUCAAGAACUUCAUUUUCCUUUCCCUUAUCCUUUUUUUCUUCCAAUAACAGAAAUAGGGGAAUAACUGGUUCACUUUUGGCGGUAGCCUAGCUCAUCAUACUUCCUUGAACACCUUUUGAAGUAGAGAACUCCAGAUCUAGUCUCCUCUGUAGAUUUCCUGUUAAGGUACAAAGUCUACUUACUUCUCCCUUAGUUUCCAAAGAGAUUCUUUCCAUGCUCUUCAACACUUGUAUCAUAGUAGCCUGCAAUUCUUCAUUAGUUCCUUUUCCUUCAGACCUUCCAGAUGAAGUUGGGCUUUCCAAGACCACCUGUCCUGAUGGAGAAGAAGAAUUUCCUGAUUGUUCUGUCAUUUGUAGCAAAGGUUGAGAUGAUUCGUACUUUGUACUCUUUUUGCAAGGUUUAUGGCUUUUCUUCUUUAACAUGCGAGAUUGAAAAAGUGAAUCCCACCGGGCAUGCCAAAACUAUGUUCGUCUUGAGGAAUAUCCAAUGAGGACAUUUCUUGGCCAACGAGCACACAGCUCCCCAAGAGGUUGGCGCCGGUUGAUAUCGUCUGUCGGGCUUCUGCUUAUUGGCGGGCUGUAAGAGAAUGACAGAGUUAAUUCUGAAAUGUGCCUUUGUAUGGCCUUAGGUGUAGACCUUGAGGCUCGCAGUCAAAAUCAACUUUAAGUACCCAGGCAUGCCACUGUCAUCUUUAGCAUGAUAGAUAUAAAACAGAUGUUAAGUUUUAUUAUAUAUAUAUGUCCGAGAGACCAAGUUAGUUAUGAAAGGUGUCUUUGUGGGGCCUUAGGUGUAAGCCUUGAGGCUUCUCGUCAAAACUAACCAAAUACUUGAACAUAUAUUGGUUGUUUCAUUGUUGCAGAAGUAUUACAACCGUUAUACUUUAAUCGCCCGAGCCUGCAGAGCAGAACGAACUCAGAUAGGUGCCUUUGUCGGGCCUUGGAUAUAGGCCUUGAGGCUUCCUAUCAGAAUUAAUUUUAUACUCAAGCGUUAUGUAGCAAUCAUGAUAUAACAGAAGUAAAACUAGAAAAUAGGCCAAUUACUUACGCCCCAAGUAACUUCGGACAUCUUGUUAUCAAGGACUGUCGUGGAUGGGUUAAGUCCACAUAGGUUCUUUUUUAUGCCUUGAGACCAAAGACUUUUAAUUGAUCAAUCUUGUCUGCCUGAAUGGUUAGAACUUAGAAGUCUUUUAAUCAUAAACUGGCUAGAAAUAACUUGGAUGCAGAUGGAAAUAUACAUCAUAUUACUAGAUUUAUGAAUGAAAGACAAAAACAAAGGAGGUUAGGCAAGGUUUCACCUUGUCGGGCAAGGCUGAUCAUCUUGCAACUUCCUCUCUUUGUGAUUUACAAAGGGUUUGAGUGCUAGAAGGGGAGAUUGGAAGAUGAGUUUACAUGAGGGAAUCGAUACUACAACAAGAUUUAGACAGGGUAGCACAACUUUUACAAAAGCUUUCUGGUGAAGGUUGAUCCCGAAAGGGAUGAAGGCUUGGUGCUGACUACAACUUUGUAUGCAAAUCUGGCUUGAGCAGAGUUUGUGUAUUUGUUUGUUUGAUUGAGUGUCCUUGUCUCUGAUUUUUCUUCCUCCUUUUAUAGAUGAUUUGGCUUGGCUACUUGCAAUAUUGAUUUUGCCUGAAUGUAUCUGAAGGGCAGUGACUCAUCAACUUUUUACUUGUACUGCCAUUGUAAAGUACUUUUGGGCUGAUUAGCUGGCUGGUCUACACCACUUGACCUCUAGGUAGGUGAGCAGGUGGUUUGAAUGAUCUGCAUUUGGUCGGGAAAAAUGCUCAUUCUUUCUUCUGGGCUUCAGCUGGGCCUUGGACUUUUCCUCAUUUUGGACCUUCUUUUGGGCUAAUCCCUUUUUAACCCAAAGUUCAAGUUUUAUCCCAAACAACGCCCUUUUUUCUUCGUUAUCUUGGUCAUCUUAGUUGACUCCCCAUUCUCCGAUUCAGCAACCGUCACCAAGACCAAGUUGUAGAACUGUUUCAAACAUCCGUUUAUGCAUAUUAGAUUACUUCCAAAAGUGAUUUUGAUGACGUGCAGAAUGAGUAAUCUCAUUGUGCAAUACUUUUAGUGGAUGUCUCAAUGCACAGCUCCAAGAUCCGGCAUGAAUUAAUGAUUGAAAAUACAUAUGAAAAGAUAAAUGAGAAAAUGUACCUCACAAACACCAUGGAGCAACAAUCGACGGAGAGGAUCUUGGACCUACAGGAUGAGAACAUCUCCAUCUUCCUCUUCAGUCUCCGUAACAAAAGCCCGUACGCGCUCCUGAAAAGAGAAGGGAAUUUAUACUCAAUGACAAUAAAAGAUUUUGUCAGGUUUGUUAAGUGUAAAAUUGGUAAUUCCUAGCAAAAUGCCUGAGUCUGUAAUAAUAGCUUAGAUUUGUUACAUAUUUUCCAUUGUAAUUGUUUAAGUCUAAGGAUGUCUCUCACACUUUCGAUGCAAAGAUGUUACGUAAAUAAGAUACUUACCGAUACUUAUUUAGGUACGUUUGCACGCAUGCAUCUAACUAUUACCAUUAAAUACAAGAUGAAAUUAACAAUAAAAGUAAAAUGUAUCAAUAAACCCACCCAGUAAUCAAACCCUAACCAUCACGUAAUCUUUGUCUUACGUUCUUUCCUGGCAAAAAUCCUAAGACGCUCUCAUAGACCUUUAUCAUCGUCAUCAUCACUACCACCACCACCAUCACCAUCACCAUCUCCAACACUACUCAUCACCUGCAUAAACCUGCUUUUACUUAUGCUACUACUAAAACAACAAGCAGCAGCUGAUCAAGAUCAACACCUAGUUUUAAAUCAAGUGUUUUUCUUCAAUUUUAACUAUCCCGUUUAAUUAAGUAAUUAAAAUUCUUUUAAUUCUUUAAUUAACACGUUCAGAUGUUACUCAUAUUUAAUUAUUAGUCUUGCUAUGUAGAUGCAUUGCAAACAUGUGAGAACAUGAUAAUCAUUGCACUUCAUUUCAUUUUGUUUGUGCACUGUUCAGUGUUUAUAAUUAGUCAUGUGAUCUUAUUAUUAUUUUAUUUUAUAUAUUCUGAUAUAGUUUCUCAGUUUCUAACUUCCGUGCAUGCUUGCUAGCUAUUAUUCCCAGUACUGCAAGUCAGAUUGCAAUAUAUGCAUGCAUUUGUUAAACUAACUAGGGUUUGAUUAAUUUGGUUUGACUCUCAUAGUCACAUGGCAACUGUGUUUAAUUAGAUUAAUGGAUUUAAUUAGCAUGGAUCUUCAUGAGAUUGAUCCGGGUAGCUUCUAAUGUGAAAACAUGGGUGUAUAAAUUUGCAUAUUGAAUUGAGUAUGUGAGGGUAGUAUUGGUAGUAAAUUGGGUAUAAAGAGAGAAUAAUAGUUUGAUAAAAAAUAAUAUGGGUGAAAAGAGUAAGCUGGGUGUAGAGAUAAGUUAUAUGGAUUCAAAUAAAAUUUCCCUUUUGUAUUUGGGAUAGGUCUCUUACCUAUUUAUCUCUUUAAAAUGACUUAUCCUUUCUAUAUUAAUUAUUAAAACACGCUUUCAAGAUAAUCUGAUUGUAUUUGGUGGAACUUAUCUGAUUGCAUUUGGUGGGUUUUGCCUCGUUAAAUCCUACAUCAUGUGCGUACUCUUUAUAUUUAUUCUGAAUAUUCGUGUAGGAUUUAGUUUGCAUAACUGAUUAGUUUAAACCAUAAUUUGGACUCAACUUUUGUUCUUCUCUUAUUUAUUGUCGUGUUUUCAAUUGUUGUCCAUAACAUCUUUUUCAUCAUGGUUUCCUCAUGCAAGUCUGCACGUCCCCAUGCUCUGAAAGGCAAAACUCCUAUUAUCACUCCUUCAUUCUCUUAUCCCUGUACCCGUUCUGUGACUCAUAAAUUGUUUUCUUCCUUAUCUGCUCCUUCAACUUUUCCUGCUGUUGAUUUUUCCAACGAGAUCUUCAAACAUAUUCUUGAUCUGCGCCAACAAUUCUCUCUGUUGGAGCAUUUCAUUAAGAUUUCUACCAAUGAUCUCAGCCAUCGAAUUUCUCAAUUGGAGCACUGUCUCCAACGUAUCCCAAACCACAUGCUUGUGCCUCUUAUCCAUCUUUCAUCCUCUGAUGACGAUUCUGGAUUCAGUCCCGAUUGUAUUACACUGACUUCCCGUAUUCCUUGUUCACCUGUUCUGGAACAUACACCGCUGCCAACUCCUACUCCAGAGGAUGAUCCUGAGGAGGAUCCCGAAGAGGAUCCAGAGGAAGAUCUUUACUGGGUUACCUAUGAAGACUCACUGCCCAAGAAUGAUUGAUUCUAUGACUUCUUUGGCUUUUCCUAUGACAAAAGGGGGGAAAGACUUUAGCUAGGGGAGAGAGAUUUUAGCUAGGAGAGUAUUUUAGUUUAGUGAGAGUUUUAGCUAGGAGAGUAUCUUAGUGAGAGUUUCUUUUAGUUUCUUAUAUUUGGAGAAUAAACGAUGUUUGAAUGAUUAUCUUUAUUUCUUAAUAAAGUCUAUUUUUAUUGCAACAUGUAUCGUUUGUAUGUCACGGGUAUUUUGUUUAAUGUGUGCAGAUUACAGCCUUCAGUGCAUAAGUUUUAAUAUUUUUUCUUUUAUAAAUUGUUGUGAGUAAGGGUUUUGUCUAGGAAAUGCCAAAGGGAGAGAUUGUUAGUGUAAAAUUGGCAAUUCCUAGCAAAAUACCUGAGGCUGUAAUCUCCCCCUUUGGCAUUUCCUAGCCAAAACCCUCACUCGCAACAAUUUAGAAAAGAAAAAAAAAUAUUAAAACUCAUGCACUGAAGGCUGUAAUCUGCACACAUUAAACAAAAUACCCUUGACAUACAAACGAUAGAUGUUGCAAUAAAAAUAGACUUUAUUAAGAAAUAAAGAUAAUCAUUCAAACAUCGUUUAUUCUCCAAAUAUAAGAAACUAAAAGAAACUCUCACUAAGAUACUCUCCUAGCUAAAACUCUCACUAAACUAAAAUACUCUCCUAGCUAAAAUCUCUCUCCCCUAGCUAAAGUCUCUCCCCCUUUUUGUCGUAGGAAAAGCCAAAGAAGUCAUAGAAUCAAUCAUGCUUGGGCAGCGAGUCUUCAUAGGUAACCCAGUAGAGAUCUUCCUCUGGAUCCUCUUCGGGAUCCUCCUCAAGAUCAUCCUUUGGAGUAGGAGUUAGCAGCGGUGUAUGUUCCAGAACAGGUGAACAAGGAAUACGGGAAGGCGGUGUAACACAAUCGAGACUGAAUCCAGAAUCGUCAUCAGAGGAUGAAAGAUGGAAAAGAGGCACAAGCAUAUGGUUUGGGAUGCGUUGGAGACAGUGCUCCAAUUGAGAAAUUCGAUGUCUGAGAUCAUUGGUAGAAAUCUUAAUGAAAUGCUCCAACAGAGAGAAUUGUUGGCACAGAUCAAGAAUAUGUUUGAAGAUCUCGUUGGAAAAAUCAAUAGCAGGAAAAGUUGAAGGAGCAGAUGAGGAAGAAAACAAUUUACGAUUCACAGAACGGGUACAUGGAUAAGAGAAUGAAGGAGUGAUAAUAGGAGUCUUGCCUUUCAGAGCAUGGGAACGUGCAGACUUGAGUGAGGAAACCAUGAUGAAAAAGAUGUUAUGGACAGCAAUUGAAAGCACGACAAUAAAUAAGAGAAGAACAAAAGUUGAGUCCAAAUGCAAAACAACUAAAAGACCAAAAAGAUAAAAAAAAAAAAUAAAACAAUCAACAUUAUCUAAAAUUUGAAAGGACAUAGCAAAGAUAAGGAUAAUGACAAUUUUAUUUUAUUUUAUUUUUAUGUAAUGUCCACAAAAACAUAAUACGAACUAGAGAAAGCCAAAAUAAUCGAGACUAUAGAAAUGCAAUAUGAUUAAACAAGCCAACUCAACAGCAACCCCUAAACUCACAAGGAAUAUUCUCAAAUGUCACUCAAAGUGUUUGGGGUGAAGUGUUUACACUCAAAAAGAUCAUUAUGUGAAUACUCUACCAUAGGCUUGCAGAUCAAUCUCAUCUCCACACAUCAACAAUUUACCCUCAAGAGAUGAAAUAGGUUCGUACGAGUAGGUAUAACAGGACGUAGGCACUGGAUUAAGAUAAAGGAGAAUAAGGAGGACAGAAGUCCGAGAAGCUAUAGAGUCCUUUAGAAAUAAAACUAGAGAGAGGUUGAGACAGAGAGAACCACUGGAGCAAUAAAGAUGUGCUUUGCACAUUUGAUAUAUUGUGGUCUUCAUGUACAACUGUACCUUUGAUUUUCUUCAGAGAUAAACAACCACCAUGUGUGUUAUACACACGAAUCUUGUUUUUUUUUUUUUCUUGAAAAGUAUCGUUUCUUGACUUGGGAAGUUACUAUCAUCACGAUAUUAAUUCUUCAAUGGUGAACUAAUCGUGGACUCUCUCCGUAAAUAAAUAUGGAUUGGGCAACGGAGGUGAGAACCAGAGUAUAAAAGGUGAGGAAGAUAGUAUAUACUGAAGGAGAGGCGCAAUACUGUGGACAAGGGAAAAAAAUAAGACACUAGCGUAUAUGAUAAUGAUGGAACCACGUAAUUCCUAUUUUCAUCUCAAAAAGAGAGUAAGGAGCAAUACAAAGCCUCGAGAGAUCUCAAAGCAAGUUCUAGAGAGUUAAAAAUCACAUAAGAUAGAGCACACAAAAACGAUUUAAAAGUGUAUGAAAAAUGUAUACAUUAACUGGAGGCUCAAAAAUUCACAGGGGGCGGAGUUUCAGGCAAGUAGACAUGUUUAAUUAGAAAACAUACAUAUAGUAUCAACCCCCAAAGCAAAACAUAUUAUGUUUAGCACGAAGCAAAUAAUGUAGUGGCAAAAGUUUUGCAGACUAAAAAAUAAUAAUGGACUUCGUUUUCAAUAUUUUGAGGAAGAAACAACUAAGUAAAAAAAAUGAAAAAUAAAAAAAAAAAUUUAGAGGACACGACAGAUUCCUAAUGCCUUUCGAAGAGUUUCGAAACGAUGAGUGUCUAAAGGCUUAGUAAACAAGUCUGCAAGUUGAUGUUCAGUGGCAAUUAACUCCAACAUUAAAACCUUCUCUUCAACCAAGACACGAAUAAAGUGGUGACGAAUGUCAAUAUGUUUGGUACGAGAAUGUUGAACAGGAUUAUGGGAAAUGUUUAUAGCACUAGUGUUAUCACAAAAAACAGAAAAAGUGCCUUGAUUAAUGCCAUAAUCACUAAUCAUUUGCUUCAUCCAAAGCAAUUGUGUACAACAGCCACCAGCAGCGAUGUAUUCAGCUUCGGCAGUGGAUAAAGAAACACAGUUUUGUUUCUUACUAUGCCAAGCAACAAGAUUAUUUCCAACAUAGAAACGUCCUCCUGAAGUACUUUUUCGAUCAUCAGCAUUUCCUGCCCAAUUGGGAUUUGAAAAUCCAGCAAUUUCAGAAUUGGUUUCCAAGGAAUAAUGUAAUCCAAAAUCAACCGUGCCGCUCACAUAUCUGAUGAUUCUUUUGACAGCUUCCAGAUGCGAUUCUUUUGGAUCAGCUUGAUAUCUGGCACAAGCACCGACACUAUAAGAGAUAUCAGGCCUUCUAGAGCAUGGUAUGAAAAACUCUCAACUCAUUUGUUAAGGAAAGGAUAUACUCGAGGAGCUGUUGACAAAACCUUGUUCGUUAAAAGAAUCAAGAAGCAUGGUACGCAUGCAUCUAACUACAUUUAUCUGAUAUCUCAUGUUUUUGUAUUUGGGAUAGGUCUCUUAUCUAUUGUGUGCUUUAUCUCUUUAAAAUGACUUAUCCUUUCUAUAUUAAUUAUUAAAACACGCUUUCAAGAUAAUCUGAUUGUAUUUGGUGGGAUUUAUCUGAUUGUAUUUGAUGGGUUUUGCCUCGUUAAAUUCUACAUCAUGUGCGUACUCUUUAUAUUUAUUCUGAAUAUUCGUGUAGGAUUUAGUUUGCAUAAUUGAUUAGUUAAAACCAUAAUUUGGAUCAGUUUUAAGUUGAAAUUUAUUUAUAGGUUAAAUUAGUACUCAUCCUAGGACUUUCAAGGUUACAAUUUGAUUUAGAGAAAGAUGAAUAUGGAAAACGGAAUGCCAAAGAUGCUGAACAGAAAAGUGUGAUGACAAAAAGUGUCCAGACAAAUAACGGAACCAAUAUGAGAUCAACAUAAGGAAUUACAAUUACCUCAUAGAACUCAACAAGUUCUGCAAAAACGCCACGGCGAAGUGCCUUUCUUGUUCGACAAUCAACCCUACGCCAUGCAUUCAAGACGGCCGCUUUAUCAGCAUCAACAGGACUCUUCUUCUUUGCACUUGGGCCCUUCAUGGAAUCAAUCACAUUAGCCUGUCAAAAUGAAAUGAAGGCUAGAGUCAGGGCGUGCAACACCGAAACCUCUAAAAUGAUCCUAUAACGACAUAUGCAGAUAUACAUACUGGUUAUAAAUAAAUAGAGGCACAUUAUUUGCUACGUAAUUGCUAUGACACAAUUUAAAACGCUAAUCUGAAUAAAGUCUGCAAUCAUAUGACUGCUAGGAUAAUUUGCGACAUUCUAUGUUAAUUUUUGUAAUCUCUGUCUGCAAUGAUAUAGUUCAAAGGGUACUUAUGUACACAAAGUUCUAUACAGCAUGCAACAACAUAUAUAUAUGUGUGUGUGUGUGUGUGUCUGUGUGUAUGUUUAUGUGUAUAUAUAUAUACAAAUAAGUUCAUUUGGAAUGGUGGGAAUGGGAAAGUACCUGAGGAAUGUGAUUGUGGCCCAUUGAUGGUGGCUUUCGAAUAUAGCCCUGAAAUCAAGAGUGAGAUUUCUGCUCAGAUGGUGGAGGUUUCUUGCAGUUUAUGAGGAAUAUGAGAAGGGUAUUUAUAAUUGCAGACAUAUAUAUAUAGUAUCCUUUAUCUUAAAUUGGAUGUAAUUAUGUCUUGAUUUAGUGUAUUAAUGAUUUUUUAUAUGCAGAAAAUAUUUUGUGAAAGUGCAGAUUAAAAGAGAAAUAUCAAGAAUUCAUGUGCAUAAGAUAUCUGCAUGAAGAGUGAGGGAUUUGAAUCCCCCGAAUUGAACCAAAAUGAUUUCCAAAUUGGUAACUUAAAAAUCCAAGUAAAUGGCUACGUACCCGUUAAAUUAUUUUCACAAUAUUUACAAAUUUAUAAAUGGCGGUUAACUCAGUCACAAUUGUGUACCAAGCUUAUUACAAAUAGAUCAACGGCUCAUGUGCGAAGAUUAUUUGCUCUGAAAUACAAUAAUCUGAGUUUAUUUCAACCAGACUAUACAUUUCAGUAUGAUGCGACACGGUUGAUAUGCUGUUGCACAUGCUACAUGGUGUGCCAUUCAAUGUUUUAUAAUCAGGUGCACGAAAUGAUCGAUAUGUCUUAAUAAAUAAAUAAACAAAUUCACGUGUUAUAAUUUGAGUGGAAUAAUAACAUUAUGUGACCGUGUUUCAUGCACACUAAAUAAUUGAACGAAAACUACACCUUGAACUAGCAAGUUUCACAUACAGCUUGCUUGAUUAUGUUCAUUUUGGAAACAAGUCCAAAGUUGCACCAUUUCAUGCCAAAUGGAGAACUAACAAAUCAGAAUACAGAUUUUUUUGAAGAAAACUGCAGGAUAACCAAACACAAUAGAUUGAAUUUGAAACUAAAACAGUUCUUUCCAUCACACAGUAACCGCUUUCCCUCGACGCAGCACCCUUUGAUUCUGCUCGUCUAGAUGAAUGCGUACUCUUCCUCCUCCAUGUGAUGCCUAAACAUACGCGAUAAUGUAUCAAUAUACGGGGUUGUAAGUUUAUGAUAAGAAUGAAGAGCGAGAAAGAGAGCUAUAGAGUGCGAGAGAGAGUACCACGUAUCCAACAACAUCAGAUUUUCCAAGUUUUUUGCACCAGUAUGAUGCUACGACACAAUGUGCGCUCCCACAAACAGGAUCCUGACAUAAACAAAGAAGCAGCAUCCAGAUUUUUAUCAGUUGUAAUUUUGUCACAACACCGGAAAAUGAUAAGUGAGCAAGCAGCAUACCUCAUUCACACCGUGUUUAGGGGCAAAGAAUUUACUGUAAAAUCAUACCCGGACUCUGGGGGAGCAAUCGCUGUUGCAAGGACUCCCCUACACCCCGGACUUUAUUCCAUCAGGCUGUGGCUGCAGUGGCGGAGCCAGAAUUCUGAAUGAGAAGGGGCUUUUCACAAAUAUGUGUAUAUAUAUAUAUAUAUAUAUAUAUAUAUAUAUAUAUAUAUAUAUACGAGUGUGUGUAAAAAGUUUAAUUCAUAACAUGUUGACAUAUGCAAUUUGUGUAAUCCUCACAAAACUGAAAAAAUUCUCUUAAAUUCAAUACUAAGAAGAAAAAAAUGUAAAAACCAAGACAACCAAGUAAGAGGUAGGUUGUGGAAGACUAAAGAAAAUACAAAGAAGUAGAAAAAGAAGGAAAAGGGGGAGAGGUCGCAAAUAAAGAAGGUGGGUUGCUUAAGAAAAUUAUAGGAUGUAUAUUACUGUUAGGUGAGAAGAUCGAACUAGAAGUGGGGUUGCUUUUUCCAUUUAAAAUUGCACAUCUCUUUUAAAACUCUCUUGCCAAACUUGUCGUUUCAUUAGACAGCCGAAACGAUUUAAAAUCAAAACAGUUUAAUGACGUCAUUUGCUUCAUCUUCUUCCAUGAGGUUCACACUUCAGAUGAAGUUAGGAUGGGCCAGGGACUACCCUAGUCCCUUGGUGGCUCCGCCCUGGGCUGUAAAUCUGCAACCGCUUUUGAUGAUGGAAGCACAGCCUUGCGGAAAAUGAAACAAGAAGGAAACAGAACCAUCAGAAAGGAAAAGUUAUAAGCUUAUAUUGAUUGAACUGAUAAUAUGGAACCGAAAAUGCAGGUUCCUAGAAGGAUUGCAUGACCUACAAGUAGAUCAUCCUGUGACAGUUGCCCUCCUUCUUUCAUUAAUAGAAAAGCGCCAUUCAAGGCGUGGAGAUAAACCUGUGAUAGUUGCCCUCCUUUCAUUAAUAGAAAAGCGCCAUUCAAGGCGUGGAGAUAAACCGAAACCUCAUCAGAGUUGAAUUCAUUAGACGGGGCAGCAGGAAAGUGCAGUUCAAUGAAAUAGGAGGAUUCUUGUGCUUCAUCAUUGGCUGUCUUAACAUCUAGAACCUUUUUAGCUGUUAGGAUUCCAGACAAAGUUGAAAACGCGAUAAUGUCGGAAAAUAUCAAACCAGACUUAAAGAGAGUGUAUGAAGCAGCUAAUGUUGCAUGGCCACAAAGCUCAACCUGCAAAAAGGAAUCAAGUUUUCAGACUAGAUAGCUUGAUAUCAAACUUGGAGAAACCUGAGUUACUUGAAAAGUUUGCUUUUCAAGUAAAUAUACACCGCAAGAGUAAAAGGACCAAUUUUACUGAAUUAGUGGCUGCCUAAGAUUUGGAUCUUAGACACUCGAAUUAUUGCGUGGAUUUUAUAUUUCAACCUUGUUAUUAUAAACUGUGAUAUGAGUUUAAAACUUAAAACCAGAGAAACUAUAACGAUGUUUUAUGAGUGGAAAUUGGAAGGUGUGGAAAUUGGAAGGAAACACCGAACCUAGGAGCUGUGUCCGAGUCAAUGAGCUGAGUCAAGUAACAUGUCUCGGAGAAGAGGCCGCUGCCUGCAACUACCGGUCGUCUCUGUCUUCCUCCAGCAAGCAAACUGCUGCUGGGUUCCCCUUGACAGCUAAGUCAGUCGGUGAAAGCAUCCACCGGCACUCAUCCAUUUCAGCAAUAAAUUCAAACACUACUUGCACGCAUCAUAUACACACAGGAAGAAUAUGUGAGAGAGAGAGAGAGAGAGAGAGAGAGUUCAGCAGCUCAGCUGAGAAGAAAGUUGAGCAGCAGUAGCACCUUUCAAGAUGCCAAGAUGAAGAACUCGGGAUACAAAUUUUGAAAUGAAAAAUAAAGGCACACCUAACUAAUUUGCUCAAAUUUAUUUAAUUCAAAUAUAAUGGUUCUUUCCCCAUAAAAUUGAGUCAUUUAUUUCAAAUGUUUAUACUUCAAGGUAAAAAUAACUCCAACUUCAAGCUAAAACAGUUCCUUCCAUCACCAUAACAGCUUUUCCUCGCAGCAGUGCCCUUUGAUUUUGCUCAUCUAGAUGAACGUUUAUUGCUCCCCCUCGAGGUGAUGCCUGAAAGUAAACAUCAACGUAUGAGGGGAUUGAGAUUUAUAAUACCACAGAGAGAGAGAGCGAGAGAGAGAGAGAGAGAGUGCCUGAUAAGCAAAAACAUCAGACUUUCCAAGUUUUU
RNAcentral lists this long non-coding RNA (32872 nucleotides) under Malus domestica (apple). RNAcentral describes it as "long non-coding RNA (MDOM_LNC010965)". The record is from RNAcentral. Lineage: Eukaryota; Viridiplantae; Streptophyta; Magnoliopsida; Rosales; Rosaceae.